RNAcentral lists this ribosomal RNA (637 nucleotides) under uncultured bacterium. RNAcentral's name for it is "bacterial SSU rRNA". It matches the Rfam family "Bacterial small subunit ribosomal RNA", at positions 607 to 1244 of the family's 1533-position model. The record is from RNAcentral.
GCUCAACCGGGGAGGGUCAUUGGAAACUGGGGAACUUGAGUGCAGAAGAGGAGAGUGGAAUUCCACGUGUAGCGGUGAAAUGCGUAGAGAUGUGGAGGAACACCAGUGGCGAAGGCGACUCUCUGGUCUGUAACUGACGCUGAGGCGUGAAAGCGUGGGGAGCGAACAGGAUUAGAUACCCUGGUAGUCCACGCCGUAAACGAUGAGUGCUAAGUGUUAGAGGGUUUCCGCCCUUUAGUGCUGCAGCAAACGCAUUAAGCACUCCGCCUGGGGAGUACGGUCGCAAGACUGAAACUCAAAGGAAUUGACGGGGGCCCGCACAAGCGGUGGAGCAUGUGGUUUAAUUCGAAGCAACGCGAAGAACCUUACCAGGUCUUGACAUCCUCUGACAACCCUAGAGAUAGGGCUUCCCCUUCGGGGGCAGAGUGACAGGUGGUGCAUGGUUGUCGUCAGCUCGUGUCGUGAGAUGUUGGGUUAAGUCCCGCAACGAGCGCAACCCUUGAUCUUAGUUGCCAGCAUUCAGUUGGGCACUCUAAGGUGACUGCCGGUGACAAACCGGAGGAAGGUGGGGAUGACGUCAAAUCAUCAUGCCCCUUAUGACCUGGGCUACACACGUGCUACAAUGGGCAGAACAAAG